ACUUGGAUAUGGAUUCUUCACGGUAACGUAACUGAAUGUGGAGACGUCGGCAUGAGCCCUGGGAGGAGUUAUCUNUUCUUCUUAACAGUUUAUCACCCUGGAAUUGGUUUAUCCGGAGNUAGGGUNUUAUGACUGGAAGAGCGUAAUAUCUUUGUUACGUCCGGUGCGCUUAUGNCGAUCCUUGAAAAUCCACAGGAAGGAAUNGUUUUCAUGCCNAGUNGUNCU
Molecule: ribosomal RNA, 225 nt
Filed under: Ogataea trehalophila
Lineage: Eukaryota; Fungi; Ascomycota; Pichiomycetes; Pichiales; Pichiaceae
Description: partial 26S rRNA
Rfam family: Eukaryotic large subunit ribosomal RNA
Source: RNAcentral